RNAcentral lists this ribosomal RNA (427 nucleotides) under uncultured bacterium. RNAcentral's name for it is "partial 16S ribosomal RNA". It matches the Rfam family "Bacterial small subunit ribosomal RNA", at positions 354 to 796 of the family's 1533-position model. The record is from RNAcentral.
GUGGGGAAUAUUGCGCAAUGGGGGAAACCCUGACGCAGCAAUACCGCGUGAGUGAAGAAGGUUUUCGGAUCGUAAAACUCUUUUAUUGGGGAAGAAGAAGUGACGGUACCCAAUGAAGAAGUCCCGGCUAACUACGUGCCAGCAGCCGCGGUAAUACGUAGGGGACAAGCGUUGUCCGGAAUCACUGGGCGUAAAGGGCGCGUAGGCGGUUUUAUAAGUCAGAUGUGAAAGGUACCGGCUCAACCGGUGACGUGCAUUUGAAACUGUAAGACUUGAGUACUGGAGAGGCAAGUGGAAUUCCUAGUGUAGCGGUGAAAUGCGUAGAUAUUAGGAGGAACACCGGUGGCGAAGGCGGCUUGCUGGACAGAUACUGACGCUGAGGUGCGAAAGCGUGGGGAGCGAACAGGAUUAGAAACCCGUGUAGUCC